RNAcentral lists this transfer RNA (82 nucleotides) under Alkalinema sp. FACHB-956. RNAcentral describes it as "tRNA-Ser". It matches the Rfam family "tRNA". Rfam says of the family: Transfer RNA (tRNA) molecules are approximately 80 nucleotides in length. The record is from RNAcentral. Lineage: Bacteria; Bacillati; Cyanobacteriota; Cyanophyceae; Leptolyngbyales; Leptolyngbyaceae.
GGAGAGUACGGCCAAUGGUUGGCAAAUCGUCUUGAAAACGAUCGCAGUUCUUAACUUGGGGGUUCAAUUCCUCUACUCUCCG